This 499-nucleotide ribosomal RNA is filed under the name uncultured bacterium. Its description in RNAcentral is "partial 16S ribosomal RNA". It matches the Rfam family "Bacterial small subunit ribosomal RNA", at positions 28 to 507 of the family's 1533-position model. The record is from RNAcentral.
GACGAACGCUGGCGGCGUGCCUAAUACAUGCAAGUCGAGCGAAGUUUUUCUGGUGCUUGCACUAGAAAAACUUAGCGGCGAACGGGUGAGUAACACGUAAAGAACCUGCCUCAUAGACUGGGACAACUAUUGGAAACGAUAGCUAAUACCGGAUAACAGUAUUUCUCGCAUGAGAGAUAUUUAAAAGUUGGUUAUGCUAACACUAUGAGAUGGCUUUGCGGUGCAUUAGCUAGUUGGUGGGGUAAAGGCCCACCAAGGCGACGAUGCAUAGCCGACCUGAGAGGGUGAUCGGCCACACUGGGACUGAGACACGGCCCAGACUCCUACGGGAGGCAGCAGUAGGGAAUCUUCCGCAAUGGGCGAAAGCCUGACGGAGCAACGCCGCGUGAGUGAAGAAGGAUUUCGGUUCGUAAAGCUCUGUUGUUAGGGAAGAAUGGAUAUGCAGUAACUAUACAUGUAAGAGACGGUACCUAACCAGAAAGCCACGGCUAACUACGUG